This 99-nucleotide transfer RNA is filed under the name Rhodnius prolixus. RNAcentral describes it as "tRNA tRNA-Tyr". It matches the Rfam family "tRNA". From Rfam's summary of the family: Transfer RNA (tRNA) molecules are approximately 80 nucleotides in length. Lineage: Eukaryota; Metazoa; Arthropoda; Insecta; Hemiptera; Reduviidae. The record is from Rfam by way of RNAcentral.
CCUCUGGUAGCUCAGUUGGUAGAGCGGUGGACUGUAGUUGGAGUGAAAGCUAUAAAAACAGAUAUCCAUAGGUCGCUGGUUCAAAUCCGGCCCGGAGGA